GGACUACCCGGGUAUCUAAUCCUGUUUGCUCCCCUUGCUCUCGCGCCUCAGCGUCAGGAAAAAGCUAGAAAACCGCUUUCGCCACCGGUGUUCUUCCACAUAUCUACGCAUUUCACCGCUACACGUGGAAUUCCGUUUUCUCCGCCCAUCCUCUAGACUAUCAGUCUCAAAUGCAGCUCCGAAGUUGAGCUCCGGAAUUUCACAUCUGACUUGAUAAACCGCCUACGCGCCCUUUACGCCCAAUAAUUCCGAUUAAUGCUUGCACCCUCCGUAUUACCGCGGCUGCUGGCAC
Molecule: ribosomal RNA, 292 nt
Filed under: uncultured bacterium
Lineage: Bacteria
Description: partial 16S ribosomal RNA
Source: RNAcentral